Molecule: ribosomal RNA, 497 nt
Filed under: uncultured bacterium
Lineage: Bacteria
Description: partial 16S ribosomal RNA
Rfam family: Bacterial small subunit ribosomal RNA
Source: RNAcentral
GACGAACGCUGGCGGCGUGCCUAAUACAUGCAAGUUGAGCGCUGAAGGUUGGUACUUGUACCAACUGGAUGAGCAGCGAACGGGUGAGUAACGCGUGGGGAAUCUGCCUUUGAGCGGGGGACAACAUUUGGAAACGAAUGCUAAUACCGCAUAAAAACUUUAAACACAAGUUUUAAGUUUGAAAGAUGCAAUUGCAUCACUCAAAGAUGAUCCCGCGUUGUAUUAGCUAGUUGGUGAGGUAAAGGCUCACCAAGGCGAUGAUACAUAGCCGACCUGAGAGGGUGAUCGGCCACAUUGGGACUGAGACACGGCCCAAGCUCCUACGGGAGGCAGCAGUAGGGAAUCUUCGGCAAUGGACGAAAGUCUGACCGAGCAACGCCGCGUGAGUGAAGAAGGUUUUCGGAUCGUAAAACUCUGUUGGUAGAGAAGAACGUUGGUGAGAGUGGUAAGCUCAUCAAGUGACGGUAACUACCCAGAAAGGGACGGCUAACUACGUG